RNAcentral lists this small nuclear RNA (156 nucleotides) under Pogona vitticeps (central bearded dragon). RNAcentral describes it as "U1 spliceosomal RNA (ENSPVIG00000016063.1)". It matches the Rfam family "U1 spliceosomal RNA". Rfam says of the family: U1 is a small nuclear RNA (snRNA) component of the spliceosome (involved in pre-mRNA splicing). Its 5' end forms complementary base pairs with the 5' splice junction, thus defining the 5' donor site of an intron. The record is from Rfam by way of RNAcentral. Lineage: Eukaryota; Metazoa; Chordata; Lepidosauria; Squamata; Agamidae.
ACUCAUACCUUGCAGGGGAAAUGCCAUGUUAUAAAAGUGGUUUUUCUAGGGUUAGGCUUAUCUGUUGUAUUUUAAGUAUGCUGCUCCCUAUGAUUUCCCCAAAUGUGGGAAACUCAGCUGCAUGGCAAUAAAGGAUUGCAUUUGUGAUUUCCUUGG